GGCGUGUUUUUGGGUAGCAACCAGAAGCAUCAGCGACAAGACACACGACUUUAAUAAAUGCACUGAUUUCUGAAUGUGAAACAGAAAGGUGUUGGCAAGUAAUGUGCAGUACAUGCCUGCACAUCCACUCAGACAGAUGAAGAAAAGCUUUUUAGUGAAUGCACAGAGUGUCUCCUGGAGAUUGCAAGGAUUACCAAAUUGUACCAGGGACAGUUGGGGAUAUUGGCCUUAGUGGCAUGCGUGAAUACACACCACCAAAGAAAAGAGUGGAUCGGUGUGGACAUUGACUGAUCGCGUCAAGCUUGUUUGAGGUAAGUGCUAGUCAUUGCAGCUGUGGUAGCUUGGUGCUAUUAUUCCGUGUCUCAUCGCAAGGCAGAUCUGCUGAAGACUGAACUGCUAGACCCCAACAAAGAUGGCUUUGUCACUCGCAAACCAAACUGGAGCCAUCAUCUUCCGAAUGGCAUUCAGGUUCCCUUGAUCUGAACUCUUGCUACAAGGAAGGUACAAUUCUCAGUUACAGACGAUCCAGUGGAUGAAAGCUUAAUUUCUUCACUGAAACUGUGAGACCCAAGGACACAGUGGCGUGUUACCGUGUGCGCUGGGAGGAGCUUGAUGUGUACCGUGCUGUAGAACAUGCCAUGGCCUAUAAUGGCAAUCACUGGUAUGGUGGGACAGAGUCCAGGUCCCAGCACUGGCCAAUUGUUUUUGUGGGAAUCCAGGAACCCAAACCUUUAAUUACUAGUGAUAUCAAUUCGAUUCAGCAAGACUUUGGGGGCAUCCUGGAGUGCUAUUGGCUCUCCUCCAGUGCAACUGCUAUCAAAAUCAAUGACUCAGUCCCUUUUCACGUGGCUGGGAUGAGAACAGCAAGAUGCUGUGAUUCCAGGCAAGCAACAACAACAACAACAUCAACAACAAAAACAACAACAACAAGAAAGAAAACAAUGGUAAGUAAAAUCAGUUAUUGGUUUUAUGGCAGUUGGUAGACCAGCUUAUGAUGCAUUACUGCCACCUACUGAGCUUUAUGAAUUAUAAUUUAAAUGUAUAAUAUCAAAAUUAUUCAAUAUUAUAUAACUCUAAAGAGUCUAAGGACUGAAAAAUGUUUUUCCGUACUAUACUUAUUCCUGAAUUAUGUAGGUCCUUUAGUGUAAAGCCAUUAUAUCUCUUUUGUUCCAGUGUAGCUUCAUAUCUUUGUGUGAUAUACUGUAUGCUUCACAGUGUAAUAUUUAUUGACCUACAUCUUAUGUUUACCUGAAGACCACCCUGACACUUCAUGAAAGGGUAAAUACAAUAAAAGUUAAAUGUAAAAAUAAAAGUUUUUAAAUCGCAUUUUCUUAUCAAUCAGAAUUACAGUAGCUGUUGAUGAGUGGUUAGAAAGUAUGUUUUAGCCAGUUUUUAUUGUUUCUAUUUUCCAGUGAGAGGCUGUUUAUGAGUAAUAAAAAUAGAGUUUGAAACAAUUUUGGACGUUUUCUCUCGCUUGAACUUGAACCAGGCGAGUUCAGGGAACAUUUUUUCGUCUGUUCAUUUUAACUGUGAAAAAUAUUGUUUGAAACCAUUUAGGAUAUUUUCUCCUGCUCGAAUCCCUGCCAGGACUCGUACAAAAUCCAGUGGGUAUCCUCUGCUUCAGUCAGAAAGUCCUCAGCUAAACCCAUUCAAAGUGAGCAUCGUCUUGAAGGGAGUUUGGUGAUGGAUGAACUGGCCGACCUGCCACAGGCCUUCUGCGUUCUUUUCGGACUGAUUUAUGCCCUGUACUUGAACUGUCCUAAGUGUAUGAAAAACAGUUUCCACUUUAUUCAGCAGUUAAUACUCAACCUGGGAGGUAAGCUGUUCCCAAAAUUCAAUCUUUGAAAAAUCAGCUAACAGUAAAACGGGCCUCCCAAUUGUUCUACCACUGUUCCACUAGCAAGUGGUUCAUUUGUAAUGUUGAAGUGCAUCUUUUAUGAUAUUGGCUCUGAUUUUGUGGUUUGAUUAAAUUCAUAUUUGCAAUGUUCCAUCUAUCCAUCCAUCCAUCCAUCCAUCCAUCUUCUACCGCUUACUCCUUUUCAGGGUCACAGGGAACCUGGAGCCUAUACCUGGGAGCAUUGGGCACAAGGCGGGGUACACCCUGGAGAGGGUGCCAGUCUGCAAUGUUCCUAUUUGAUAGAAAUUUGAAAUUUAUUUUAUUUAUAUAUACAGUGGUACAAUACUGAUGUCCAGUGAACAUUUCAUGUGAAUAGUCUCAUUUGAAAUAUAUUUACUGAAACAAAUAUUGAUGCAUCUAAUACUUAUUUCCCUCUCUGUAUGU
This is a long non-coding RNA of Ictalurus punctatus (channel catfish), 2281 nucleotides long. RefSeq lists it as uncharacterized. The record is from RefSeq and is a predicted model, not a curated record. Lineage: Eukaryota; Metazoa; Chordata; Actinopteri; Siluriformes; Ictaluridae. The transcript is spliced from 5 exons.